Molecule: ribosomal RNA, 481 nt
Filed under: uncultured bacterium
Lineage: Bacteria
Description: bacterial SSU rRNA
Rfam family: Bacterial small subunit ribosomal RNA
Source: RNAcentral
GGAUGAACGCUAGCGGCAGGCCUAACACAUGCAAGUCGAGGGGUAUAGGGAGCUUGCUUCCUAGAGACCGGCGCACGGGUGCGUAACGCGUAUGCAAUCUACCUUGUACAGGGGAAUAGCCCAGAGAAAUUUGGAUUAAUGCCCCAUAGUAUUAUUAAAUGGCAUCCUUUAAUAAUUAAAGUUCCAACGGUACAAGAUGAGCAUGCGUCCUAUUAGUUAGUUGGUGUGGUAACGGCAUACCAAGACGAUGAUAGGUAGGGGUCCUGAGAGGGAGAUCCCCCACACUGGUACUGAGACACGGACCAGACUCCUACGGGAGGCAGCAGUGAGGAAUAUUGGACAAUGGGCGCAAGCCUGAUCCAGCCAUGCCGCGUGCAGGAAGACGGUCCUAUGGAUUGUAAACUGCUUUUAUACAGGAAGAAACACUGGUUCGUGAACCAGCUUGACGGUACUGUAAGAAUAAGGAUCGGCUAACUCCGUG